AUUGAACGCUGGCGGCAUGCCUUACACAUGCAAGUCGAACGGCAGCACGGGUGCUUGCACCUGGUGGCGAGUGGCGAACGGGUGAGUAAUACAUCGGAACGUACCUUAUCGUGGGGGAUAACGCAGCGAAAGCUGUGCUAAUACCGCAUACGCCCUGAGGGGGAAAGCGGGGGAUCGCAAGACCUCGCGCGAUUAGAGCGGCCGAUGCCUGAUUAGCUAGUUGGUGGGGUAAAAGCCCACCAAGGCGACGAUCAGUAGCUGGUCUGAGAGGACGAUCAGCCACCCUGGGACUGAGAGACUGCCCAGACUCCUACGGGAGGCAGCAGUGGGGAAUUUUGGACAAUGGGGGCAACCCUGAUCCAGCAAUGCCGCGUGAGUGAAGAAGGCCUUCGGGUUGUAAAGCUCUUUUGUCAGGGAAGAAACACCGGCUCUAACACAGUCCGGGAAUGACGGUACCUGAAGAAUAAGCACCGGCUAACUACGUGCCAGCCGCCGCCGUAA
This 501-nucleotide ribosomal RNA is filed under the name uncultured bacterium. Its description in RNAcentral is "partial 16S ribosomal RNA". It matches the Rfam family "Bacterial small subunit ribosomal RNA", at positions 29 to 523 of the family's 1533-position model. The record is from RNAcentral.